AUUGAACGCUGGCGGCAGGCCUAACACAUGCAAGUCGGACGGCAGCACGGGAGCUUGCUCCUGGUGGCGAGUGGCGGACGGGUGAGUAGCGCUUGGGAAUCUGCCUGGCAUUGGGGGAUAACUCGGGGAAACUCGAGCUAAUACCGCGUACGCCCUGAGGGGGAAAGCAGGGGACUUGCUUGCAAGCCUUGCGAUGUCAGAUGAGCCCAAGCCGGAUUAGCUAGUUGGUNGGGUAAAGGCCUACCAAGGCGACGAUCCGUAGCUGGUCUGAGAGGAUGAUCAGCCACACUGGGACUGAGACACGGCCCAGACUCCUACGGGAGGCAGCAGUGGGGAAUAUUGGACAAUGGGGGCAACCCUGAUCCAGCCAUGCCGCGUGUGUGAAGAAGGUCUUAGGAUUGUAAAGCACUUUAAGUCAGGAGGAAGGCGCUCUGGUUAAUACCUGGAGUGAUUGACGUUACUGACAGAAUAAGCACCGGCUAACUUCGUGCCAGCAGCCGCGGUAAUACGAAGGGUGCAAGCGUUAAUCGGAAUUACUGGGCGUAAAGCGCGCGCAGGCGGUUCGAUAAGAAAGAUGUGAAAGGCCUGGGCUCAACCUGGGAAUGGCAUUUUUAACUGUCGGGCUAGAGUACGGUAGAGGGUGGUGGAAUUUCCUGUGUAGCGGUGAAAUGCGUAGAUAUAGGAAGGAACAUCAGUGGCGAAGGCGACCACCUGGACUGAUACUGACGCUCAUGUGCGAAAGCGUGGGGAGCAAACAGGAUUAGAUNCCCUGGUAGUCCACGCUGUAAACGAUGUCAACUAACCGUUGGUCUCCUNGUGGGAUAAGUGGCGCAGCUAACGCGAUAAGUUGACCGCCUGGGGAGUACGGCCGCAAGGUUAAAACUCAAAUGAAUUGACGGGGGCCCGCACAAGCGGUGGAGCAUGUGGUUUAAUUCGACGCAACGCGAAGAACCUUACCUGGCCUUGACAUCCACAGAACCUGCCAGAGAUGGCGGGGUGCCUUCGGGANCUGUGAGACAGGUGCUGCAUGGCUGUCGUCAGCUCGUGUCGUGAGAUGUUGGGUUAAGUCCCGUAACGAGCGCAACCCCUGUCCUUAAUUACCAGCACGC
Molecule: ribosomal RNA, 1109 nt
Filed under: uncultured Gammaproteobacteria bacterium
Lineage: Bacteria; Pseudomonadati; Pseudomonadota; Gammaproteobacteria
Description: bacterial SSU rRNA
Rfam family: Bacterial small subunit ribosomal RNA
Source: RNAcentral